GUUUUGUCUUUGUCUCCUCUUUUCUACCGACAGCUUUUUUUUUUUUAAUUUCAGACACAAAAUCUUUGAGUAAUAAAAAAAAAACGAUUGCAAUGAUUCGGCGCUUGGACGAUUCGACUCUGGUUAAUUUAAAGUAUGGAUCCAGCAAAAGAGAAGCCGAUCGGAGACAUGCAAGAUCAGAUCGUGGUGUACUCGUACAUUUUUGGAAUAUAUACGAAGAUGGCGAGAGCACCGACAGAAGAAGUUCAUCCGAUAUAUAAGGAUGGAAAAGUGUCGUGACCACUCAGAAGCUGGAAUUUGUAUUUUUACAGAGUAUAUAUAAAUUCCUAAAAGACUUAAGGAGAAUCAAAAAUGGAUAUAUAUACAAACAAUGCUGAGAUGAGGCACGACUACGAAACCGUUUAAUAACUAAAGCAGAUGGAAAGGUGUUGUGACCACUCAGAAGCUGGAAUUUAUAUUUUUAACAGAGUAUAUAUAAAUUCCUAAAAGAUGCAAGGAGAAACGAAAAUGGAUUUUCAGAGAAAACAAUUCUGAGAUGAGGCAGGACUAUGUAACCGUUUAAUACCUUAAGAAGGAAGCCAUACUUGUCGAAGCCCCAUAUGGAGAUUGCAAAAUAUUGCCAAGUCGGGGAGACGGAGACGGUAUCACACGGCUUUGAUACAACUGUGAGUCUAAGCCGACAUCUGGGGAUGUAUUAGUGAUAUCCUUCAAUACCCUGCCAAAAACAGAUUUCAAAGGAACAUAUACAAUGCAAAUUGCGAUAUAUCAUGUGAAUGUGAGCAAGAAAUUACAAUUACCUGUUACGUGAGAGAUGUGAGCUCCUCACUGCUGAUCUUCUCAACUUUGAUCCUUUUGAGAGGUCGUAUCUUUGAUGUGGAGGUGUUAUCUGGAAUGUCAACGACAUCAACAGAUGGCUUAGGAGGAGUUGUCAUCUUGCUAGAGCUUGUCAUCUUGCUAGAGCUUUCAUCACUGUGUGGAGCACUUUGGCUUCGAUGAACCAAGCAGUCUUCCAUGGUCGAAUUUCAUCAAGUUAGGAUAUUCCGCAAAACAUUAAAGAAUGAAUAAAAGGGUUGUGGCAGAGAUAUCAUGCAAUGCUUCUGUGGAAACUAAGGUAAGUAAGGACUGUUAUAUAUAUAUAUAGGUUCUUAUUCAAAAAUAAUAUAUGAACUUAAUGAAAAGUUAUACUAUUAGUCCUGAAUUAGGUAUGGAACUGAUUCUGGCUAGUUAGGAAAAUGGAAAAUAAAUGUUGAUUGUUGAUUCUGUAUAAACUGGAUAAAAAUUAUUAUUCAUUCACGUUUGAAGACAAUUCGAAUAAAUAGGAUAAUCAAUAUUUGAAAAAUUAAUUUUAUUCUUACCAAUAAUAAUAAAUAUUUUAUUUGAAUAAUUGAAUAAAUAUAAAAACCAAAAACAAAAACAACAAACUCUUAGCAAAGAAAUAUUAAAAAACAACAAUGAAAAACACCAACAAUGAAAAAAAAAAAUCCAAUAAUUAGUUUCAAAUCAGCCACUUCCAUCUAUUUUUUUCUUCUUUGAAGCAAUAGAGUUCUGGUGCAGCGACUUUGUUUUUUUCCAAAUAGCAUCAUUGAGACUCCAAACUUUCAUGGCAUUGAAUGACGCGACUUCAGAGGAGUUGUUUUCAUCGAUUGAAAUUCCAAAACCAUAAGAUUUACCGACGAUGUCCACAAUCUCAUGUGGUAAAAUAUCUUGAACUUCAAUCUGUUAAUUUUCAGAUAAAGAUUAAAUCAGCAAAUAUAAUAGUUUUCAUAAAUAAUUUUAGUUACACUAUUAAACAAACAUUAAAAUAUUAGUAAUCACCUUGUCAACGUUAAGAUUGACAGUCUUGUAUGCAGAUUUUUUCACAAUAUAUGUGGCAACUGAGUCAAGAAGUGUGAAUUUUGAUUCACCAGUUUGAUCCUGCACAAGUAAAGUUAACUUGUAUCUGCAUACAGAAGAUUCAAUUUUAAAUUUACAGCAUUAGAAUAAAUUUUAUAAAAUAAAUAUAUGUAACAUAAGAUGUUUAUUGAAAAUAUGACCUUGGUGAAACCUUGGUAACAUUAACUUGACAAACUCCACACCACCAUCUUGGCACAUCUAAUUCAUCAAAUGAAAUAGGUGAUUUGAAAACCUUAUUCUGGCAGACCACACAAGCACAAUACCACCAUCCAUCCAUGAUAUCAAUAGCAUAAACUGAACAAAUCACUCUGCAUUUUCCACCCUAGAAGCAACAUAAAAAGAUUAAAAAAUGCAGUUAAAUAUUAAGUUUAGAUAUUAUUGCCAGAUGAUAUAGAUUAAACAAUUUAUAUUGUUUUUGUUUAUAAUAUUAAGUUUUUCUAAUUAAUUGCUGAGAAAAUAUUGUUAAAAUAACACGAUUUAUUCUUGUUUUGAAUGAAUAAAGUUUUUAUGUUUAUAUAGGAUAUUAGAAUAUUGUUUUGAUUUUAUACCAGAUUUUAUUAGAUUAAUAUUUAAGUAGAUAUUAAUUAGAAAUGCGGACGAUAAAGAGGGAAUAUUAUAUGGAUUUAAACGAUUUGAUAUCAUUAAACCAGAAAGUAGUUUAUGAGUUCUUUGGUAAUAGGAAUUGUUGAGAUAAUAGAAGAAAACCUUUUCAGAAUGUUUCAUCUCUUGAAUGGUGCUGAAAGGAUAUUUAGACCAUCUCUGGUUUUUAUCCUGGAUAAGUAUGUUGUUACUAACCAGCUGGGUAUUUUCAAGAGUGAUUUCAGAACCAUGAAACCUAAUAAAAACAAAAACAGAAGAAAUAACUCAGUGUAAUUAAUUAUAAUAAUUAAUAUUUAUAAAUGAGAUACUCACUUUUGUUUAAGAGAUUUUGCAUCGUUGAUAUCUGGGUUUAUAAACACCAAAGUAGAAUUAAAUGCAUUGGAUAGUCCCCACUCAUCUGAAAUAAAAAAAUAAACAUUUUUAUAAAAAUAUAAAAGACAACAUUAAAUAAAUAUAUGAUAAUAAAAAUGAUAGCAUUAUAUAAUCCGAAAAUACCUUUGAACUUGACGAUUUUUGCAAAUCGGAUUAAACAAAUAUCUCCAAUUUUUGGGUUGGCUUCUUUGAUCAAAAGCUCAGCUAAGCUACCUGAGACACAGCACUCCAGGCGAUGGUCGCUGUAAAAAUAGUAAAUGCAAUUUAGGAUCAUAAUUAUGUAGCAAUUUCGGAUCAAAUUAAUGUUUUAGAAUCAACUUUAAAAAUAUUACUUGAUAUCUCCUAGAGUAAACACCAAUUUGGUCACUUCUUUCCUUCCAAUUUGAAGAACAGUUUGACUCCCAAAGUCUAUGAUUACUCCAAUCACAUCUGUUAUAUAUCAAAAACGAUAGUAUAAUAAAUAAUGUAUAUAGAUACUUAAUUGGAAAAUAAAUAAGAUAAAAGAAGUUACCAAUAAGAAAACGACUAUCACUUGAACCAUUUAUAAUGGUGCCAAACUCAUGUAGAUCGAGACACAUGUUGUCGCCACUUGUGAAAUCACAAUCCGUUAUUGAUGUAUGUUGCAACAACUCCAUUUUGUAAACAUGGUUGGUAGGUCGAUUCAUACCAGAUGCUGAACUUAAUAAAAAGUUGGUAAUAACUUUCCAUUCUCCAACAACAAAUUGGCUCUCGAAUUGUUCCAGUAGGGAAUGUUUGCAAAUGGCAUGGAUUUUGAUACCCUAUAAGAUCAUACAAAAAUACCAAAUUAAAUCAUAUACUGAAUCAAUAUGCAUAUACAUAAUAUCUAAAGUGUAUAGAAAGUGAGGAUAGAGAGUAAGGGUUUCUCACAUUUUUGUCGCCAAGAACCAUCUCAAGAGAUGCACCUUUUUGGUGACUGAAGGAAUUCCAUUUAUGAAUCACUUUCACAGCAACUCUCCAUGAAUAUUUAAAUGGCUUAACUUCACUUAAAGUGCUGAUUUUGAUUUUGGAUUCCAUAAGUGUAGAUGAGGAUAAAAAGUUUUGAGAUUUCGAAUGGUUAGUUUGGUGAGUUGUGUUACCGUCCGUUAUUUAUAUAGUUGUAUACGGGGUAAAUUUUUAUUAAUCGCGAAUAUACCAAAAGAAUAUAAUUAGGAAUAUUCAACUAAAGCUAUAUUAGAAUGUUGUUUUGAUUUUAUACCAGAUUUUAAUGAGUUGGUAUUUUUAAUGAUUAAAAUUGUGUGUUUAGAUAGGAUAUUAGAAUGUUGUUUUGAUUUUAUACCAGAUUUUAUUAGAUGUUAAUUUAUUUUCAGUUUUAUAAUUUUUUCAAAUCGUAUUAUUUUUCUUAUACAGAGAGAAUAUUAUAUGGAUUUAAAGAUUCGAGAUCAUUAUACCAGAAAUCAGUUUUUAAGUUUAGAUAUUAUACCAGAAUGUAGUUUCGAUUUAUAAAUCUGUUUAUAAUAUUAAUUAAAAAAAAUAUUGCUGUUUAUAUGAAAUAUUUUAUUAGUAUUAUUAAUAAAUGAGAAAUCAAUACUAUAAUUAUUCAAAGUAUACGAUAUUAUUCUGUAAACAUAUAAAACAUAGUAUUUGAACAAUAAUAAGAAUCUACAUAUAUAUAUUCAUAUAAACGUGAUAUAAAUAUAUAUGUUCAUUAUUGUUGAUGCAUCAAAUGUUUAAUCUAUAUAAAACGAUGGUUAUAGGAGUUGGUGAGAUUAUUUUUAAAGUAUAAUCAAUUAAUGUAAAAGACAAUGACCAAUUAUAAGAAAAUCUAGAUAAAUAAACCGGAAAUCUAUGAAGCAAGGAAAUCUUAAAUAAUUAAGCCACGAUCAGGAACAAAUAAAUAAAGAGUUAAAUAAAAACAAUACACUUAAAAAAAAUGCAGUGGCACAAAAACGUAAAUAUGAUUGAAACAAAAGGUCACCUCAAAAAAGGGCCUUCU
Raphanus sativus (radish) is the source of this 4819-nucleotide long non-coding RNA. RefSeq lists it as uncharacterized. The transcript is spliced from 11 exons. The record is from RefSeq and is a predicted model, not a curated record. NCBI's taxonomy places the organism in Eukaryota, Viridiplantae, Streptophyta, Magnoliopsida, Brassicales, Brassicaceae.